AUUGAACGCUGGCGGCAGGCCUAACACAUGCAAGUCGAAUGGUAACAGGAAACAGCUUGCUGUUUCGCUGCCGAGUGGCGGACGGGUGAGUAAUGUCUGGGAAACUGCCUGAUGGAGGGGGAUAACUACUGGAAACGGUAGCUAAUACCGCAUAACGUCGCAAGACCAAAGAGGGGGACCUUCUGGCCUCUUGCCAUCAGAUGUGCCCAGAUGGGAUUAGCUAGUAGGUGGGGUAACGGCUCACCUAGGCGACGAUCCCUAGCUGGUCUGAGAGGAUGACCAGCCACACUGGAACUGAGACACGGUCCAGACUCCUACGGGAGGCAGCAGUGGGGAAUAUUGCACAAUGGGCGCAAGCCUGAUGCAGCCAUGCCGCGUGUAUGAAGAAGGCCUUCGGGUUGUAAAGUACUUUCAGCGGGGAGGAAGGGAGUAAAGUUAAUACCUUGGCUCAUUGACGUUACCCGCAGAAGAAGCACCGGCUAACUCCGUG
RNAcentral lists this ribosomal RNA (490 nucleotides) under uncultured bacterium. Its description in RNAcentral is "partial 16S ribosomal RNA". It matches the Rfam family "Bacterial small subunit ribosomal RNA", at positions 30 to 507 of the family's 1533-position model. The record is from RNAcentral.